GUUGGGUAGGGGAGCGUUCUGUAAGCCUGUGAAGGUGGCCUGUGAGGGUUGCUGGAGGUAUCAGAAGUGCGAAUGCUGACAUAAGUAACGAUAAAGCGGGUGAAAAGCCCGCUCGCCGGAAGACCAAGGGUUCCUGUCCAACGUUAAUCGGGGCAGGGUGAGUCGACCCCUAAGGCGAGGCCGAAAGGCGUAGUCGAUGGGAAACGGGUUAAUAUUCCCGUACUUGGUGUUACUGCGAAGGGGGGACGGAGAAGGCUAUGUUGGCCGGGCGACGGUUGUCCCGGUUUAAGCGUGUAGGCUGGUUUUCCAGGCAAAUCCGGUUCACUUUAACACUGAGGCGUGACGACGAGGCACUACGGUGCUGAAGCAACAAAUGCCCUGCUUCCAGGAAAAGCCUCUAAGCAUCAGGUAACAUCAAAUCGUACCCCAAACCGACACAGGUGGUCAGGUAGAGAAUACCAAGGCGCUUGAGAGAACUCGGGUGAAGGAACUAGGCAAAAUGGUGCCGUAACUUCGGGAGAAGGCACGCUGACACGUAGGUGAAGUGAUUUACUCAUGGAGCUGAAGUCAGUCGAAGAUACCAGCUGGCUGCAACUGUUUAUUAAAAACACAGCACUGUGCAAACACGAAAGUGGACGUAUACGGUGUGACGCCUGCCCGGUGCCGGAAGGUUAAUUGAUGGGGUCAGCGCAAGCGAAGCUCCUGAUCGAAGCCCCGGUAAACGGCGGCCGUAACUAUAACGGUCCUAAGGUAGCGAAAUUCCUUGUCGGGUAAGUUCCGACCUGCACGAAUGGCGUAAUGAUGGCCAGGCUGUCUCCACCCGAGACUCAGUGAAAUUGAACUCGCUGUGAAGAUGCAGUGUACCCGCGGCAAGACGGAAAGACCCCGUGAACCUUUACUAUAGCUUGACACUGAACAUUGAGCCUUGAUGUGUAGGAUAGGUGGGAGGCUUUGAAGUGUGGACGCCAGUCUGCAUGGAGCCGACCUUGAAAUACCACCCUUUAAUGUUUGAUGUUCUAACGUGGACCCGUAAUCCGGGUUGCGGACAGUGUCUGGUGGGUAGUUUGACUGGGGCGGUCUCCUCCUAAAGAGUAACGGAGGAGCACGAAGGUUGGCUAAUCCUGGUCGGACAUCAGGAGGUUAGUGCAAUGGCAUAAGCCAGCUUGACUGCGAGCGUGACGGCGCGAGCAGGUGCGAAAGCAGGUCAUAGUGAUCCGGUGGUUCUGAAUGGAAGGGCCAUCGCUCAACGGAUAAAAGGUACUCCGGGGAUAACAGGCUGAUACCGCCCAAGAGUUCAUAUCGACGGCGGUGUUUGGCACCUCGAUGUCGGCUCAUCACAUCCUGGGGCUGAAGUAGGUCCCAAGGGUAUGGCUGUUCGCCAUUUAAAGUGGUACGCGAGCUGGGUUUAGAACGUCGUGAGACAGUUCGGUCCCUAUCUGCCGUGGGCGCUGGAGAACUGAGGGGGGCUGCUCCUAGUACGAGAGGACCGGAGUGGACGCAUCACUGGUGUUCGGGUUGUCAUGCCAAUGGCACUGCCCGGUAGCUAAAUGCGGAAGAGAUAAGUGCUGAAAGCAUCUAAGCACGAAACUUGCCCCGAGAUGAGUUCUCCCUGAGACUU
This 1618-nucleotide ribosomal RNA is filed under the name Salmonella enterica subsp. enterica serovar Senftenberg. RNAcentral describes it as "bacterial LSU rRNA". It matches the Rfam family "Bacterial large subunit ribosomal RNA", at positions 1223 to 2823 of the family's 2925-position model. The record is from RNAcentral. Lineage: Bacteria; Pseudomonadati; Pseudomonadota; Gammaproteobacteria; Enterobacterales; Enterobacteriaceae.